This 88-nucleotide small RNA is filed under the name unclassified sequences. Its description in RNAcentral is "ATPC.2008-01-16 RNA". It matches the Rfam family "ATPC RNA motif". RNAcentral also lists the same sequence under 1 other name. The record is from RNAcentral.
UUCGCCUUUUCGAGGCGAUCUGCUAAACACAUCCGCGCGCAGGUCCGGCGCUCGAUCGGGCCCACUCCAGAAGGAGUGUCCCAGCGCG